UAACCUGCCCAAGAGAUCGGGAUAACACCUGGAAACAGAUGCUAAUACCGGAUAACAACAGAUGAUGCCUAUCAACUGUUUAAAAGAUGGUUCUGCUAUCACUCUUGGAUGGACCUGCGGUGCAUUAGCUAGUUGGUAGGGUAACGGCCUACCAAGGCGAUGAUGCAUAGCCGAGUUGAGAGGCUGAUCGGCCACAUUGGGACUGAGACACGGCCCAAACUCCUACGGGAGGCAGCAGGG
This 240-nucleotide ribosomal RNA is filed under the name uncultured Lactobacillus sp. RNAcentral describes it as "partial 16S ribosomal RNA". It matches the Rfam family "Bacterial small subunit ribosomal RNA", at positions 122 to 354 of the family's 1533-position model. Lineage: Bacteria; Bacillati; Bacillota; Bacilli; Lactobacillales; Lactobacillaceae. The record is from RNAcentral.